UACGAAGGGGGCUAGCGUUGCUCGGAAUCACUGGGCGUAAAGGUUGCGUAGGCGGGUCUUUAAGUCAGGGGUGAAAUCCUGGAGCUCAACUCCAGAACUGCCUUUGAUACUGAAGAUCUUGAGUUCGGGAGAGGUGAGUGGAACUGCGAGUGUAGAGGUGAAAUUCGUAGAUAUUCGCAAGAACACCAGUGGCGAAGGCGGCUCACUGGCCCGAUACUGACGCUGAGGCACGGAAAGCGAUGGGGAGCAAACAGG
This 255-nucleotide ribosomal RNA is filed under the name uncultured bacterium. RNAcentral's name for it is "partial 16S ribosomal RNA". It matches the Rfam family "Bacterial small subunit ribosomal RNA", at positions 524 to 776 of the family's 1533-position model. The record is from RNAcentral.